This 26678-nucleotide long non-coding RNA is filed under the name Triticum aestivum (bread wheat). Its description in RNAcentral is "long non-coding RNA (TAES_LNC011314)". Lineage: Eukaryota; Viridiplantae; Streptophyta; Magnoliopsida; Poales; Poaceae. The record is from RNAcentral.
GGAGUGGAAGGUUCGGCGUCGCAAAAGUCAUGUUCUUUGCUUGGUUGGCCCUUCGAGAUCAAAUUUGGAUCGCCGAUAGGUUGUCCGAACUUCGGCCUUUGUCCCCUUUGCCGGAGGUGCAAUAAUGUGGAUCCCAUAUCUUCUUCAAAUGUCGUUAGUCUCUUAGGCUUUGGAACUUGGUCAUUGAGAAAUUUCUCCUUGAGGAUCGGGACAGCUCCACCUGGCACAUGGAGGGCGCUAUUGAGGAUUGGGGGCAAGCUGAACCAGUAUUCGUACAUGCAAUAGAAAAGAAAUGGCCUCACUUACUAUGCUUGUAUCAGGGAACAUAUGGAAUGAGUGGAAUGCACAAGUGUUCCAGAACAAGAGCGCGCCCCCACCGAUCAUGUUAAACAUCAUCUUGGAAGAGGCAAAACUUUUGUCAUCGCAAAGGCAAAGAAGCUAUGGUCAAUCAUUUUGCGAGAGUAAUCAUUCCUUUCGGAUUUAUAGGUGAAUUAUAAGAAACUCUAUCCUCUCCUUAAGUAAUAUAUAAGGCAAAUCUUUUGCAUCUGCUUCAAAAAAAAAUAUUGUUGAUCAGGCAUGGAGUCCUACGUACGACGCCAUUGUGCCCACCAUCACGGCUACACGACGGGGCAAUAGGACUCAACAGGGUAAGGUGGUGCACUCACCCUACUUAAAUUUUCUGUGAAUUAUUUUAUGUAUAUGUAUAGAGUUAAUUAAUCGCUAAGAAAAUAGUAGGAACAAAGAAACCAAACACCAGUGAAGGGGUACCACUUGAAGAUGUCACUCCCACCUUCUCAGGCGUUGACGAGUGGUGCAUUGCAUGUGCGCCACUUGUCGCAACCGGACUAUUUUCCUUUUUUCCCUAGAUUCUAUUUUCCAAAUAUUUUAUCUUGUGAACUGUAUGUUCAAAUCACGAACCAUUUCCGUCGUUGGAUUUCUCGCGUAGAGGUCUACGAAACAAGAUCCCAUCUUAAGUUUCCAAGAACCAUUUUUCCUAACAAAAGAAAAAACAGAGCCGGGAGCUCGGUUUUUUCCUCACUUAUUUUUUCCUUUUUCUAGGCACAGAUAUGUGCCUCCACGAGAUGCAAAUUUGUGCUUUUCAUGGAAGCACAAAGAAAAAGUUCAAAAAUAUCCGCAUUGUUUUCACUUUUCAAAGAAGCUAGGUGUGCUUUCUCGCGAAACUAAAUGUGUGCCUUGACAAGAGGCAAAUUUGUACUUCCCAUGGAAGCAAGAAAAAACACGCAAACAAAAUUUGUGAUUUAUCUCUCCUUCCGGUAAGCACAAUUGCGCUUCGCACAGAAACAAAUAUGUGCGUCCGCAAGAAGCAAAUCGUGGGAGAAAUAAAAAUCACGCAAAAAAUCGUCAAUUGUUUCAUGGGCUGUACAUUGGGAAAAAAUUGUGCCUACACGAGAAGCGAAUUUGUGCUUCUUGUUCAAGAAAAAUAAAUCACAGUUUUCUCCAUUUUUGAGAUGUAUAGUUGUGCUUCUCGCGGAAACAAAUAUGUACCUCCACGAGAAGCAAAUUUGUGCUUCUCGUGGAAACCAAACAAAAUUCGUGCAAAAAAAGUCAUGAUUUUUUUCCUUUUCUGGGAAGCACAGUUGUGCUCUGUGCUUCUCGUGGAACCAAAUUUGUGCCUCCACAAAAAUCAAAUAUGUGCUUCUCGUGGAAGAAAAAAAUCACACAAAAAUAAUUCACUAAUUUUUUCCUCUAAAACCUAAAUCAACACGUAAGCCAAAAGGCCAAAAAAAACCGCAAAACCAAUCUAAAACCUGAAAACUUGUACAGAAAUAUAAAAAUCGAAAUCUAGAGGGAGCGUUCAGCACGUAACGCAUGGCGGCAGCAGCACGCACCAUUUGAUGCUCUCUCAACCCACAAAAAUGACCCUUGCGGGAGCCAUGUAGUUAGUUGCUCUCACAAGAAAGCCAGCUAUAUAUCAACGUGUCAUGUGUUAUACAUGAACCGAGCCCACAACCAUCAUCGAUCUAAUUGGUCAUCGACUUAUUGCUAGUUAUAUCUCGCUUGCAGCGAGAUAGCCCUCGCUCAUGGUUUUUUGGGUAGCUACAGUAUGGGCCAGCCCAUUUCAUCUAAUUGCAUAGCGAGUUUUUCAGUGAGGUUUUUCUCUCUACGUUUUCUGUGUUCUUUUUUGACCUUUUAUGGUUUUUUGCGCUGUUUUUUUUAUUUCUUCAGUUUUCUUUUCUUUCUUACUCACGGUUUUUUUUCUCUUUGCUAUACUUUGGUAUUUUACCGGGUUUCUUCUGUUGCUUUGUUUUUUGUUUUCUUCUAGGUUAUCUAUGUUUCUAAAUGGUUUUCUUUGUUUCUCACCCUUUUUCAUUUUUUUGGUAUUUUAUAGUUUUUUUAUUUCUAUGUUUCUUUCUGGGCUUCCAUUGGUUUUCUUUCUUUCUUCACUUUUCUUUGUUUUUCUUUCUCGGUUUUUAUUCAUUUUCUUCACUUUCCUUUUUCCAUUUUUUUAUGGACCAGAACAUUAUUUAUACACAUGUUUAAUAUCUUUCAAAUACAUGAUUAACAUUUUCUGGAAAACUUAUUUUGUUUGAUGUCUACAUUUUUUCAUACACAUUUCAUAUUUUCUGCAUACAUCUGAAAAAAAUUCAUAUACACAUUUCACAUUUUGAAAAAAACAUGUUUUGUUAAAACAUAUAUUUUUGAUAUCUGAUUUUUUCCAUAAACACUGUAGAAAAAAUUGUAUGCACGAGGAACAUUUUAUGUAUACACGCUUAAUAAUUUUCAAAUACGUUAGUAACAUACUUAAAUGAAUACUUUUUAUGUCCAUUUUUUCCAUACACUUCCGUAUACAUUAGAAAAAAAAUUUGUAUACACGUUCAACAUUUUCUGGGCUAAUUAUGCCAUUGAGCAAACUUAGCUCUUUUUUUCUUAGGGUAAGUCAGGUAUCUUCUUGAUCUAUGUGUAAAUUUUCAAACGUGAAACGUACAGUUUUUUGUGGACAAAGGAAGUAUGUUACUAACAAAAACUAGCAACACAUGCAUGUUACUAAUCUAAGUAAACCUAAAGAGACGCAAUGUCUCUUGACUAGGAAUUGACGUUUCUUUGUAUCAUCGCAUCUGUUCUGAACAUAUUGUACUCCAUCUGUCUUAAAAUGUAGACGUUUCUUGACAAUACAUUAUGAGACAUAGAGGGUGUAAUUUUUUUUCCAUACAAGAGUUCAUUUGCCAUUCGCAUCUACUCUAGUAGUAUUGCUUUUGCCUUGGAACAGAACGGACCCAUGACAUGCAUCGGCCGCUAGGACGCGCAUGCGAGAUGACAAGUGUAGAUAGCUCCCGAUGCCGCCGCGCGCCUCCUCCAACCGGUGCGAGGCACUAUUUUUCCUCAAACGCGCCCACGAAUUGCAGUACGCAUGCCUGCGGGUCUCCGGCUGCCAUCCUUCCCGAGGAAAGCCCGAUUGGCGCACCGCGCGGCGCGGUACAGAACGUCCGAACACCAUUGAACCAAAGCUCAUCCACAUCCCCUAGCUUGCAUAGUUACCUUUACUUUUUCUAUCGGAUGAUGCUCCUAGCUAGUGUACGCAUCCACAUCGAGCGAUCCAGUAUAUAUACUAUAUGUACAUAUAGCAUGUGCUUAUCACUGAGACGUGCCUCUGCUUGUGAACUUGUAACUUUUCAGCAGAAUUCAUCCUCGACAGAAAAAUAUUUUCGGUAAUCAAAACUAGCUACUCAACAAGUUCAAACGGAAAAACCCUAAACGGAGAAUCGUGUUGAGGCCAAGCACAGUCAGCAACUAAAACGAGAUUAACCGGGAGGCAGCGAGUAGUACUACUACUAGGUCGAGAAGGUACCACAACCACCUCCAUCUUUAUAAACCCACACCCACCUCGCCCUGUCUCGCCAACAAGUCCUCUACCAUCUCCCUCCCAACCUGUAGCCAGGCGACAUCUUCAACAGAAGAAGCAGCGAGCAAGCCAAGAUGGAGGCGCUGAAGCAGAAGGCGAAGGACAUGGUCACCACGCGCGAGGGCGCGCUGGGAGCCGUGGCGGUGGUCGCCGGCGCCGUGGGCGCCUACUUCUUCUGGCCUGCCGGUGUGGCCGCCGGCGCCAUGAUGAAGGCCCCAGGCGCCGCCGGAUUCCUCAUCUCACGCGCGGCCUUCCUGGCCAACCCGCAGCUCUACUUCCAUCUCCUGCGCACCGCCGGACCCAAGGCAGCGGCCGCCGCCUUCCUUUAGUAGGGAAGCGCAGCACAUGCAUGCAUGCAUGCAUGUCCCUUCCGUCGAUCUACUGAAGUCAGUGCUGUCUCUGUCUACUAGAAAUGUUCGGUGUGUGUUGAUCUAUCUUAUAUUACUAGUGUACUACUCCAGAUCUGUUGAUCUGCCGCUAGCUAGUUCCUUCUGUCGAUCCUACCGAAGUUCCAUGUAAUGCCCAAGAAGAUGCUGUGUGUGUCAAGUUAUCUUAGUGUGCUCUGUUGAUUUGCAUGUCUCUUAAUUAUGAUCUGUGAUCUAGUAUAUCCUACAACGUCAGGUUGAAGAUGGAUCUAGCAUUUGUGUGCAGCACAUUUGAGGCUGAGCAUCCAGUGUUUUUUCCGGUUCUUUCUUGUGUGACAUUGCGCUGUAAGCAUUAAUUUGCCCGUUUUUCUGUCUGGGUUCUUAGGAGUGUGUGGGCCAGAUGAUCUGUCUCCUUUACGAAAAAGAAACAACUCGUCUUGAUUUCUCGCCUCCAUCUUCUUUUGUUCCUCUCUUUACUGCAGGACAUGUCGUGCUCAUCAGCUUCUCCUCCCUGGAGUAGUGGUUCUAGUUUGUUAACAAUCUCUUCAUAGUUUUGGACAGAUGAGAAAGCAAGGAUUAAUUUCUUUUCUUUAUUAACAGAUCUUUGUAAUGGUUGACAGUUGACACUCGGUUAGCAUGCAAACGUUUCCGAAACUCGGUUAGAAUGUUUGCAUCACAAUAUUGCCGAUGUUUCUUCUCUGAAAAGGAGCGAUGAAGAAAGAUGAAAAGGAUGAAUACACCGUAGUCACUGGCUACUAGCACCAUGCCACUUGCCUGUUUUGGUGACAUUAAAAUAUGUUUCUUAAUUCUAAAAUCAGUGCUUCUUUUCUGAAUGUAGACUUGAGGAUUGUAGCCGUAUAUUUUUCCUGCUCAGUCAUGCACUCAGUUUCCAACAAAGGAUUUGAUCCUGUGUAUUAUUGCUCUAAUUGUUAACUUCGAAAAAUGUAUCAGAUCCAUUGAGCCUCAACCACAAACAAAACAUGAACAAGACCGAAAGGCCAUAGAUGUUUAGUGCAUCAGCAUUGACUAGAUUGCUGAUGCUAGUGCAAGUGUGAGACUGUUAGAACUAUGCCCUGGAGGCAAUAAUAAAAGUUGAUAUUGUUUUAUGGGACAUUUACAUUUGUGCCCAUAACUGGAACCAACUACUCAUAUUUGCCCCUAAUUUCGAAGCAUACCCAAAUCUAUCCCUCUGUCGUUAGUUGCCCUUAUAGAACUGCCCUUUUGCGUCGUUACCGUCCGAUCAAAGGGCUUUGACCAUCUCGAUAAAAUUAGCAGAAAAAUCUGAAAUUUUGUGGGAUCAAAGAUAGUUAGGUGCUUGUCAAUUUUCUUGAUGUUUAGACAUACCAGGAGCAUGUGGCAAUGGAAAACAAUAAAUCUGUACGACUGUGAAUAGUAAAUUCAAAGAAAAUAGCAAGAAAAUUCAAAAAGUACGAAAUUUUUUGGCAUCCAAGAUGCUCGGAUGCGCAAGGUGUGUGCAAUUUUUUUUAUCAAAUGACAUGCAAGGAGCUCUAGCAAAAAAACAAAAUAGUGUAUUUGUUCAAAGUUUUUUCCGAGCCAGAUUUUGUUUUUUUCGCGCGCUCCUACAAUGUCCAAGCACAACAAAAUUUUGCACACACCUUGUGCACCCGAGCAUCUUGGAUGCCAAAAAAAUUCAUACUUUUUUGAAUUUUCUUGCUACCUUUUGAAUUUACUGUUCACAGGCGUACUGAUUUACUGUUUUUCCUUCGCCAUGAGCUCCUAGAGUGUCCAAACAACAUGAAAAUUUGCACGCACCUUGCGCACUUGAGUACCUUCAAUCCCACAAAAUUUCAGAUUUUUUUGCUAUUUUUUCGAGACGGUCAAAGCCCUUUGCCCGGACAUUAAGGGCGCGGAAGGGCAUUUCUAUGAGGGCAACUAAUGGCAGAGGGACAAAUUUGGGCAUGCUUCGAAAUUAGGGGCAAAUCUGACUAGUGGAUUCCAGUUAGGGGCAAAAAUGUAAAUGUCCCUUGUUUUAUUUGCAUGUUCGUAAUUAAGUUUAUAUUUCAAUGCUAGAAUUGCAUUGGUUUUUGAAAGUGAGAUUUAGAGGAAAACCAAAUUUCAUGUUUAGAGAUAUAAACGCGAAACAGAGUUAGACCUCUGGACUUGCUCAUGUAUUGUUGAUGGUUCUGCUUUCAUGGCCAUGUGCAUAGUUAACGUAACGAGGAUGAAAAAAAUGAUCAGAGCAUGUUGUUAGGGUAAUAAUGAUGUUGGAUAGAUCCAUCGUAUUGUAUAACGCGAGUUCGUGUUGUCAAUAUGUUGUAUGUUACUCUAUAACUGGGUAAUUAUAAAGUUAACUUUUGGUAACGCAAGGAAGUAUGUCGUGGUACUAGAUAUGUGAAGACUUAAACUUGCCCCUCCGGCGAUCGAUAUAUACACUCUCAGACCACAUGGUAUUACACUGUCUGGCAUCUCUUGACCAUGUAUUGUGACUAAGGAAUUAGUCAUGUGCAUCCCGAAAUACGAUUACAAGGAAAGAGUACAAACCUGUAAUGAGGAUAACUACGUAUAGUGAUCAAGUAGUUGUCACAACGAUACAAUCAAAGUCUCCCCUCAUGUUUGGUAACGUAUGGAGAGGGAAAGGCAAUUGCAUGCGAUAAAAAAAGUUUUUUUUAUAAAGAUCUACAAUGUUAUGUGGGGAUUAUUGUGCGUGUCCAGAUCUCACUAAUAAUUAUUGACUAGAAGGUGUUACAAACUUGUCCAUGUAGUCUUGAACCUAUAGGGUCACACGCUUAAUGAUUAGCAACAUAUAGGAGUAAUAUGUGAUAAUCAAGAACAAGAUAGAAGGGGUCCAAAAGUAUUUUGAUAAUAUCAAAAUUGUUCCCGGAGGUCCCGAGAGCGUCCCAGUGAUAUCAUGUAGUGUCUCAGAAUGUUCUGUAAGGUGGCGAAAGCUCCAAUAUGUUCCAAAAACCUUUUGAAAAUUCUGGAAGGAUCCUAAUGCCACCUACCCCCUGCCUUGGGGGCAAGGCGGCCCAUAGGGCCCAAGUCGGCCAACCCCCCUAUUUCUUGGGGGGGCAAACCAACAAAAGGGGUGUGCUCCUACAAGGACUCCACCUCCAUAGGUCGGAUGAAACCCUCACCCCUCCACCUAUAUAUAGGUGUGGGCGCAUCAAGAGAAGUUUGGUACACGCACUCACCCCUAUGGACACAUGUACGAACACCCUACACAUAUAAGCAGCUUCAAGAUAUUGAGGGAAUAACAUCUUGAGAUUAAUGCGAGCAUUAGUGUCAAGAACAUCACUUGAACCCUUGUGGGCUGACUUCACCACCAGGAACCUAACCAUCUAAGCUAUGUCCAUUAUUACCUAUAGUAUUGUCACAAAUAAGACAUCACUGAUGAAGUACCACAACAUGAACCUGAUGCGGCGAUACAUUGCUGUGCAAUCCACAAACUCUUGUCGUUUCAGUCCUGUCACACUGUCCUGAUUGUUCCACAAACCAACACAAAUCAGAGAAUAAACUCUGGAAAUCAGAAACACGAGUGCCAUAACCAAAAAAAAAUCACCCGAGCAAUAUUUAGCAAAUCCCUUCGGUACCAUUAUUUAGAUUGGAGCUUUUCAACUCCAUUUUGAGAUUGACCACAUUUAAAUUUGGACUUAUCAGGUGAUUAACUUUGUUUUUUUUUUGCUUGAGAAACACAAUGCAGACAUAGACACUCACAUAUAUGCAUGUACAAUUAUAACCCUAUAAAGACACACACCACUGGCACUUGGGCACAUAGGUGUCAAACAUGUAGUUUGAUCCAUGGUGUGCUAGGGGUACAACCAUCCGCCUAAUCAUCCAACCACAAAAUGAUUCUCGGUAUUGGCAUAAUUAUGGGUGGGUUUGCAAACUGAAAAAAAAAAGCAUGCUCUACCUUUGUCUAAUCAAACAGCUCGCCAGCCAAAUAAAUCUGGAAUGGAGGGAUAACAACGGUCGAUCCUAUCCAUCUUUAUCCAUGAGGUUUCAUCCUGAUGAUGAUAUAGAGCAUGUGGGUAAUCUCAAAAAAAAAUCUAUAGCAUGUGAGAUUUUAUCUUUAAUGUCCUGCUACCAAAGAUUUGCCAUCGUGGAUAAUUUCCUAAUUAGCAUCCUUAUAUUAGCCACCUUUGGAAUCCAAUAAUCUUAUUCUAAAUUUGGGAGCCUGUCUUAAAACUCAUCCUUAUCUUUGAGGAGUCAUCCGGAUGAUAUCAUGAUUUGACCACGAUUUUAUAUGGCACGUUGUUAAUGCUCCAAUUGAAUUCCUUCCAUCUGCGUUAUUCGGGAAACCUGCUGCUCAGGACUACAAAUAGGAGGGAGCGAGCAAGACAUCCAUACCACACUCGUUUCUCGCAUCACAAGGUCGUUGGCCCCGUAGCACAAGCGAGUUCAUCACAAAACCAGCUGCAAAGGCUCGACGGCGAUGGCUUCCAAGAUGGUCGGCGCCCUCUUGCUGGUCCUCCUGCUGGCGCUCAACCAGAGCGACGCCCAGGUGUUGCCGACCCCCUGCUGCAACCUCAAGUGCUGUGGGUACGAUUGCUGCGGGCCCCCGGUCACAGCCACGGCACCCAUUUCGCCAUUCUCCGCCGCCCCCGAAGCAGGACCGGCCGGCCCGGUUUCGCAGCGCGUGCUCCGCAAGGUCUUCCCCGGAAACUAGCGAUGUUCAGAUGCAUGUAGCGAUGCCCCCCGUGACGUAUGAUUCCAUUGCAAGUGUGCUACUGGCACCUAGCUAGUUUCGCUGGUAUUACGUAUUAUUUUUAGCUUGUAUUCCUGAUUUGUUCUGUUCCAUCGAAACAGCAAUAUAGGAGUUUAUAUCCUGCAGUAGCAUUCCAAUUCUACAGCUAUAAUGUGUGUGCAAUGAUAAACCAUGUUCGAAACACAAAUAAUCCACCCAUCCUUCAGAAGAACAGAACGCAUAAUCCUCCAAUUAAAUCUGCCGAACCUGAAUCAGCUAUAGCUGCUCUAGUCUGGAUCAGUCCUUCAUCUCGGCUGCCUUCUCGUCUCCCAGAACAAUAUUGUUUCCUAAAAAGUAGUCAUACAUGUUCCCUUUAGGUGGACAAAAUUCAUAACCGGUUUAGCAACUGCGCCUACUAAAAAUAGCUUAGGAUAGGUUUUUACCCCUUUUUCUUGAAAAAAAUAUAUUUUUGAAUGUGGCCUCAGUGCUCAUACAACCAUAAGGCGUUUGAAUGUGGUCAAUCCCAAGGUUUCCCCAAAAAAGUUUUUGUCGAAGUGUGCAUGCGAGGUUAUAGAUUGUUUUGUCCCUAAUGUGAUUUUGUUGAUGUGUUGAUUUCCAAUCUGGAUCUACAUCGGUACGAAACAAAGGCGAAUUGUGAGCUAUUGAUUAAGGUUGCAUACUAAAUAACACUUAAAAAUGUUUCACAGCUAACCAACAUCAUUUGAAAAUUCUACACAUUUUUCUAAUCAACUUUUCAUAUAUAACAUGUCAAAAUUGAAGUUACGGUUCUUAAGUUAUUGAUACUUUUAAAAAGUAUUUGAAUCUGCCCCCAAAAUAUAAUGUUAUUUUCUAGAUGGACUAAGGGUUUAUUAAAUGAAAUAUCAGGGAGUUUUAUACAAAAAGUAAAACAUUUUCUGGUGUCACUUAAAACAGGAUUGUGGGUUUACCAUUUUCAUUGCAAAAAGCUUUUUCUUUGCGGGAUGAUAGCCAUGCACGUUCCCUUUAGAUGGCCCAAAUUUAUGGCCGGUUUAGGAACUACGCCUACUAAAAAUAGCUUAGGAUGGGUUUUAACCUUUUUUUUCUUGAAAAAAAAUAUGUUUUUGGUUCCUCAAAUUUGCCGAAAUUAUAGAUCUGGUCCGUCAAAAAAUGUAGAAACAAAACAUAUAAUUUAAAAAAGUUAAUCAUAUACUCCCUCCGUCCCAAAAUUGUUACAUCCGUAUCUAGACAAAUCUAAGACAAGAACUUUGGGACGGAGGGAGUAUAUAAGAAAGGUCAAAACUAUAUGUAAAAUGUUUUAGAUGUAUACUAAAAAUGUACAAUAUAUGAAAACAAUAGUUAUCAAAACAUAUAUCUGAAAAAAUGGUAAUCAUUUAUUUGAAAAAAUGUUAAACAUAUAUUAAAAAAUGUUUUACAUAUAACUAAAAUGUUUGAUGUAUAAAAAAUAUAUAAUAUGUACAAAAAUGUAGGCAUGUGUUUAAAAAAUAAAAAUAAUAAGAAAGAAACAAAGAAAACAGAAAAGGAAAACAAGAAAAUCGGAGAAAAAGUGCAAAAAAGAAAAGGGAGACAAGAAAAAAUUUGGGAAAAAAUGGAAAGGAACAAAGCAAAGAAAACGAAGAAACAAAUCAGUGAAAAUCGAGAAAGAAACAAAUAAAAUGGUAAACCGCAAAGUAAAAAAGAACAACAAAGAAAACCGACAAAGAAACAAAUAAAACUGGAGUAAAACAAAGAUAAAAAGUUGAAACAGUGAAAACCGAUGCAAAAGCAGUGAAAAACAACCAAAAACAAAAGCAAAGAAAAACAGUAAGGAAACAACAGAUAAACCGAGAAAACCAGUAAAGAAAACAAGAAACCAAAGCAGGGAAAAAUCGAAACAAAACAACAGCGACCAAACGAAACGCAUGACCGGGAAAACAGCAACGCCCGAAUGAAUGUACUUAGCCGACGCAUACGCGUGGGUGUUGUGGGCGAGGGGAGCUACCAUCUCGCUAUAAGUGAGAUAUAGCUUGUGCGGAAUUUUCUUACUAAACACUAGUAUUCCUCCCGACGCGUUGCGACCCUAUUCGCUGUCCAAUAGGCUUUGUAAAUAAUUAUUCUGGUUAUAAAAGCAUACGGGAAAUAGAGGAUGCUCCUUCAUCUCAAUAAAAGUGCUCAUAUGGCAGGCCCACGUGCCAAAGUGAAUUUUUGAAAUAUUCUUCUUUAUUUGAUUAAGUAGAGGGAAUCUACUGUUAUCACCCUUUGCAUGCAUGAAUUCUCUUGUGGAUAGAGUCGGGCGCACCAUAAGACUAAAAUGGGCACACGCCCCAAACAUUCAUGAUGAAAUUUGAAUGGUAGAAAACCAAAGUACUCCUUCCUUUUUAUUUACUCUGCAUAUUAGGUUUAACUAAAGUCAAACUUAAGUUUGACCAACUUUACAAAAAAAUAUACUUUUACCUUAAUGAAAAUAUAUGAUGUGAAAGUACAUUCAAUAGUGAAUCUAAUGGUAUUAAUCUGUUAUUGUAUAUGUUAAUAUUUUUUGGCCGUUUUUUCCUUACUGCUUUUCUUUGCUCGAAACUUCUAUUGCACACUGGCACUUGAUUUGUUUAUAAACUUUGUCAAAGUUUAUUAGCUUUGGUCCAUAUUAGCUUUUGUUCAACCCAGCUCGAAACUUCACUUGAACACCGGCACUUGCUUAAUUUUGCCUGCUAUGAAGUUAGAUACUGAACUAUGGCAGGAUAUUUGCACAGUUCUGUGGUAUUGAGUCUAUGAGAUUUUGCAGAUGGUGCGAUAUGGCUUCAAUCUGAACGUCCCUCCAUAUCCGUGAGAGUAGGGAAUCUCUAGCUGUGAACACUACCUGAAUCAUACCCUACGCCGCGGCAAAGGGCCUAAAACACUCGGCAAAGUCUUUGCCGAGAAUUGUUCUCGGCAAAGUCUUUGCCGAGAAUUGUUCUCGGCAAAGGCCACUCGAUGUCCCACGUCCAACGCCGAGUGGAUGCUUUGCCGAGAUCUCCUCUCGGCAAAGCUAACGAUUAGCAAACCAGCCACGUGUCCACCACCUGACUGGCGGGUCCCACUACCUAUGCCGAGCAUCAACUUUGAAGAUUAUACAAUUUCCACUUUACCACUAUUUAUAAAAAUGUAGUCAAUGUUAGAAAAGUUUGACUGUGUCAUUCUACAAAGUAUAUUCUUUCACUAUGGCGAAUAUAGGGGGAACUGCAGAAUCCUCAAGCAGGAUUUUCAUGGGAAAACCCCAGCUUUCCUCUGGUUCUGUCAUCCUCUCGAUUCCUGAUUGUGUGGGCAUGAUUCAUAACAAGAGCAUCCUUAUGUACUCCUCAAGGACGGGGAGCGUCUGCCCUUCGCCGUAGCCAAAGAGGACCCUCACCAUCCUCGCGAGGUUUAGCGAGAUCCGGGUCAUGCUGGGCGGGAAUGUCCUCCUGGAGAAGCACUCCCUGUUGAGCUCCCCCCACUCACUCUCGAUCAGCGCCAGCAUAUGCCCCUUCGCGUCGCCACCGGGGUUCUCUUUCAGGUACAACUCCUUGUAUGAUCCGUCCAGGCCAUCUUGCGCUUCGUCCUGCAUGGUGCAAGAAUGGUGAUCAUGUUAUGGUAUCUUAAACCAGUGGGGCUAAGAUUCAUUAGAAAUUCUAGGUUUCUAAUUAAGCAGGGGGGUAAUUUCAGCAGUUGGAAUCUGACCUUGGCACUGCCCAUGUCAUCCCAAAGUCUCAAGAUCUUUGACGGGCAGGAGAUUAUCGGAGGGAUACGGCCGGCCGUGAGGUUUGUAGCAUCCCUUGUUGGAUCAUGUCCUAGCAUGGAAAAGAGAUGCACAAGUGCAAGUGGUCCUCCUGUAGUGAUGACGCCGUUCGAUAGGUAGUCAUCUAGGGAAGGAACAUGAUUAGCAGACAACCAUUUCGCCUCAAGCAAAAAUGCAUCGAAAAGCAUGGCCCACUGCAAAAGAAAAAUGAAUUCACUAUUUUCAGUUGAUUAUUAUUUUCCUUUUUUUAAUAUAUUUAUACAUGAACUUAAAUAUUCUCAAAUAUUAUAUAUUGGAUAGAUACAUAUGUUGCUCGUCCAACAAACAAUUUAGUUGGUUAUCUAGACAAAUCAGGAAAUCUAAAAGAAUAAAGAUAUUCCAAGAGACAUACAUCUUUUUUGAGAUGAUCAAUAGGGUUCAGCCCAUGUUCUCUUUCAGCCAUAUCUGCGAUGUCAUUUGUGAUUGUAUAAAGAGAACUGUAGCAUGAUCUCAUGUAGCUUGGAAGUGAUGCAGCAGCUGCAAGAUCCCACCUGUAAGAAAUGCAUUUUCUAACAUGAAAUUUCGGUUACACAAUACUGACAGUUACUGUUGAUCAUAAACAGCGAGAUGAAUUUAUAGUAGCCAGAAAGGAAAAGCCUACGUUCUGAUUGCCUCGGUGAAGCGAGAAAGCUCCUCUUGUGUUGCAACAACAUCAAAGAUGUCAUCCACAAUACUGACAAUUGCAAUGAUUUUGGUUAUCUCAAUCCGGUAUCUGGAGAAGGAUUGCCCCUGGAGGAUAGUCAUGGGAAACAUGUACCAUUUAAGAAUUUGGUCACGCGUAGCUGGUAUUUCUUGAGCCAAUCCCAGGCCCAUCCACCAUCUGUCACAAUGACAUUUAGAAGUUAAAGAAGAAAUUUGUCAAUACCCCCAAAGAUAGGUAUAAAAUGGAGAAUGUUAUCUAAUGUGAAGAUGGUAAAUCAACUUGGAAGACAGAUUAGGUACUAAUUUUCAACUCAGUGGUCUUUGUGAUGGACCUGAGAAGAAACAAAUGCUCUAGCCACAUUCCUCUUCUGGGAGCUGCAGAUAAAACAUAAAGUUUGCAAGGAAUGAACUUAUAUAUGUACCUCUUAACCUCUUGCAUUUCCAUCUGAUGCUGCAACUUGUUAAGCUUGAAGUCUGCAAGUGCCAGCUCCUCCAUUGCAGUGUUCCGAGUGGGCAAGCUCUGGAGAUAGCUCAGGUGGUGUCUAGCCUUGUACUGCAUCAGGCUCACAUGGUAGGGAUGAUCCAGUGAAUGCCUCACAUAUCUUGCAAGGUUUAGGUCCAAGUGUUUAAUUGCAGAAGUGAGGUGUUUCCUUGAGAAGUCAUUUGCCUUGUAUAGUGAUGCUUCUCCCAUGUUCAAGUGUGAUAUGUCCUGCAAGCUGAGCAACCCUCUGAUGUCUUUGGUAUGAUCAACGUUGAAGUCCUCGUUUUCAUUGACAAACUUUUGAAGAACCUCAUCUACCACAUCAAGGAUAAAGGUUUUUAGGAAUAUAAACUGUGGUUGCAAUAACAGGGCGAAAAUAAAUUUUACUUUCAGACACACAAGGGGUUGAGACAAGGGGAUUCCAUGUCUCCUCUCCAAUUUAAUAUAGUGGCCGAUAUGUUGACCAUUCUUAUAGGCAGGGCCAAGCAAAACGGUCAAGUGGAUGGGCUAGUACCUUGUUUGGUCGAUGGGGGAGUCUCCAUUUUACAAUAUGCUUACAACACUAUCUGUUCAUGAAACAUGACAUUGCAAAAGCGCAAAAUAUGAAACUCAUAUUAUGUCUUCGAACAUUGUCUGGAUUAAAAAUAAAUUUUCACAAGAGCGAGUUGUUCUGCCUUGAAGGCCAAAGAAGAGCAAGACACAUAUAGACAAUUGUUUGGGUGUGAAUUAGUUUCUUUACCUUUCAGCUAUUUGUGCAUACUGAUUCAUCACCGUAAGAUAUCUAAUAAAGAAUGGAAGUGCAUUGAAGAUCGAAUUGAAAAAUAGCUUAGUUGCUGGAAGGGCAAGCUAAUGUCGUAUGGAGGUCGGCUAGUGUUGAUAAACUCAGUACUUACUAGUAUGCCGAUGUUCCUAUUAUCUUUCUUCGAGGUACCAAAAGGGGUGUGGAAGAGACUUGACUUCUUUAGAUCUCGAUUCUUCUGGCAGUCAGAUGAGGCCAAGAAGAAAUACCGUCUCGCACGAUGGGAUAUUCUAUGCCGACCCAAGGACCAGGGGGGUCUCGGUAUUGAAAACCUGGAAGUUAAGAAUAAAUGUCUUAUGAGUAAAUGGCUCUACAGGUUAGAGACAGAGCCGGAGGGUAUGUGGGCAUAGAUAUUACGCAAUAAAUAUCUACAAUCAAAAACGCUAGCCCAGGUCACCGUGAGACCAACUGACUCGCCAUUCUGGAAGGGAUUCGUGUGAACGAAAGAUUUGUUCUUUCGUAGGGUCAAAUUCGUGGUUGGCAAUGAGAUGUCAACAAGAUUUUGGGAGGAUACGUGGUUAGGGGAGACGCCACUAGCCAUACAGUACCCCACCCUAUAUAACAUUGUGCAACGUAAGGAGGAUUACAUAGGCACCAUACUUCAAUCGACUCCCUUGAAUAUUCAGUUCAGACGUGCGUUAGUUAGUGAGCGAUGGACUACCUGGAUGCACUUGGUCCGGAGAUUGAUAGAUGUUCAACUAUCCGACCAACCAGAUUCGAUGCACUGGAAGUUAGCCAGAAAUGGGGUGUUUACGGUGAAAUCUUUUUACAUGGAUCUGACUAAUUCUGGACCAAUCUUGAGAUCGUUACAUAUUUGGAAGGUUAAGGUUCCCUUGCGUAUUAAAAUAUUUAUGUGGUUCAUUCACAAACAAAUGAUCCUAACCAAAGAUAACUUAAUAAAGAGGCGGUGGGUAGGUAGUUCACGUUGUUGUUUUUGUGAUCAUGUUGAAACAAUACAACACUUAUUCAUAGAGUGCCCAUUCGCGAAAUUGCUUUGGAGAACGAUCCAUAUAGCCUUUAACAUCACUCCUCCAGUUGACAUUGAAUUGUUAGUUGGGACGUGGUUAGCUGGGGUGGAGCAUAUUACUGCGAUUGAUAUUCGGAUUGAAAUAUGUGCGCUUCUUUGGGCUAUAUGGAAUUGCAGGAAUGAUAUGAUUUUUAACAGACAACCUAAUCUAACUUUCUUGCAGGUCAUCUUCAGAGCUACUGUAUGGAUCCGUACGUGGUCCUUACUCACUCCUACGGACUUCAGGGAGCCUUUGGUUACUAGGUGCAACCAGUGGGAGAUGGUAGCACGGGCUAUAUUCAACCAGUUCAGAUGGCGGUUGCAUAACAAGAUAGGAGUCUAGGGAGCUUGUCCUUUACAUUGUCAUACCUGUUGUAAUAUUGAACAUUCGCUUCUUUUUUCCUUUUUCGCUCCGCUUGCGAGCUGUAAUACUUUUAUGACUUUGUGCUACUUCGAGACUUCUUAAUAAAAUGGCUGCAUGCAUCAUCCGAUGCGGAGGCCGGGGCCGAGCCUCCAUUUUCAAAAAAGGGCAAAAAUAAAUUUAAUUCGAUAUGUGGAUUAGUCACAACUAGCUAGAACAACUUCUGGACCCUGACAAAAAAAGCGUACUAUUCUGCAUGACAAAUUCAUGACCAAUGAAUCAAAAGCCCUCGAGAAGGUCGCAAAUCCUCAGAGUUCCCACAUCCUCUAGACCAGUCAUUCCUCUACGCAAGGUCAGUCACCACUCACCACGCACCACCACAGGAGAGUGCCAGCAAGCCAAGAUUUUAGGUGUGACAGCCAUUGCCGAGAAGGAACAUGCCCCACAUGGCAAAGUUUUUUAUCUUUUUAUAGUAAAUUAUGAUUUUGAACUAUCUUAUAAAUCUUGUACUGAAUUUGAAGACCAUGAACAGUAAAAAUGACUUGGGCCCAUGAACACCGUAAACAAAAUGAGGGAUCAUUUCUAUACUAUCGAAAAAUAUAUGAUAAGUGUACUAACCUGCUGAAAUAUCAUAUCCAUCUUCUCUCAGUAGCCUGAAGGAAAGUGUUGCAUCUAGUAGAUCAUCACUGUCAACAAGAUUCAAGCACGCAUCCAUGCCAUCAUUGAUCUCGUUUUGGAAAUAGUGGUCGAUGCAGAGGCGCUUGAGGUGAUCAAUAUCAGUCAUCACCUUCCUCUUUUCCUUAUGGUUUUGAUGCAGCAUUUCCUUAACACUCUUCAGGCCCUCCUGUUAUUCCAUGGAGAGAGAAAAAAAAUUAAAAUGCAAAAAUGGGAGAUAUGGGAGACUUUAUGUUUCACUUUGCGAGGCUAAUUCUUCUAUUCAUCAAAGGGGAAAAAACAGGCUACUUUCCUAUCUUCUCCAAGGCUUAUAGCAGCGCAGUUAGUCAGUUCUUUUCCGAGUAAUUCAGUUAGUCAGAAAUUUAAAUGGUUAGAAAAAAUAUAUCUAAUUCAAUAACAAGCCUUAAAGUCACAUUGGAGAACUGAUGGUGAUGUGAAUAAAUUUCUACCAAGAAUAAAAGCUCUCAGUUCAUCUUGGUAGUCCAGAUAAAUAGGGGGUGUCUGCUAAGUCCAGAUGAGACGUGCGGAGGCUGGUUAAGCCGGAGAAAUAGAAAAACUAGGGCGUUUGAGCGCCAGGGGUACGCGGCUAAGUUUUUUUUACCGGAGCUGGGAGCUACCUGUGGAGAAUCUACCAUUCACUUGGUUUCUCUGAGAUUCGUGCCAGCCUUUUGUGUAUAAAGUAAAAAUAAUUUGCUAUGCAAUACAGACAUUAGACAAAGGAAUACAUCUAUGCAUGUGAGAUGUGUGACAACUUUUGAUGUGACAGGACUGGGUGACUGAUGAAGAGGACGGCGCAUGGGUUCUCUGCCCCAAACAAAAUAGUUGCAUUUUAUUUCCUGGUCAUAUUUUGAAUGGUUAAUAACUAUGAACCAAAUUUCAGUAAUUGAAUUUUUUUUGUACAUUUGAAGUCAGGGUGAUAAGACCUUUAAAACAAGACCGGUCUUGAAUACAAUUUGGCUAGAUUGAAUUUUACUGUUUCAAUUAGUUUCACAUUGCAAAAAGUACGAUUUUAUUCAUUUCAAUAAACAGAGUUUACUCAUUCCAAAAAAAAUAUUUCACUACUUUGAAAAUACAGAUUUCACUCAUUUACAAAUUGAUUUCAUAUAUAUAUCAAUAAGCUGGUAUAUAAUUUUUCAGAAAUAUAAUAUUUCAAGAAACUAAUUUCAGAAAACAUAUUACGCUCACUCAAUUGAAAUACUAUAUUUCACUUGUUUCAAAAAAGUGAUUUCACUCAUUACAAAAGAUAGAUUUCACUCAUUUUAGUAGUUUCAGAAAACUACUACACUCACAAUAUACACACUGAAAUAAGCGGUUUCCCUGAUUUCACUCAUUUGAAAGUACAAUUUUUGCUUGUUUCAUUUGAAAAGAAGUGCUUGAAUUAUUUCACUCAUUUUAGAGGACCGAUUUCAGUCCUUAUAAAAGAUUGAUUUUCAAUCGUUUUGACUUAAAAUAUAUGUUUCAAUUCCUUGAAAUGAUUUAUAUCUAUGAACUUAUGAAUUUUAUUUUUUGGACUAAGUGAAAUCUAUAAAACGAGAUAUUUUUUUGAGAAUGUGAAACACCUUAUUUUUAAAUCUAGUUGAAAAAUAUUCAAUAUUGAACUUGUUCUGUAUAUCAUGUUGCAAGGAAUUUGAAUAUAUAUAAAAAAUUCAGUAAUGGAUUUUUGUGAAAGACAGUGACCAUCUAAAAUUGUAAGCAAAAAUAAAAAGAUGCAUUUGUUUGAAAGGGCAGAGAGAGGAAAGAAGUUGCAUGCAUGCGUACGGUAUGCUGACAGAAGUAGUACCUGUAGCUGACAUACUAGUGCAAAGUGGUGAAAAGAGGUGGGCCAGCCAUCUGACAUACAACAGUGUUAUACAAGAGGUGGGUUAUGAAAAUAAAAAUGCUAUACUAGAGGUGGGCCACAUAAAUGCACGAAACGCAAACAAGACGAACGAUGGAUGCAUGGUUUGCCGGUACCUCCAGGAACCGGUAAAAAGAGGUUUGCGCGGGGGUACAUCGCCCCAAAAAAUUUCUCUUGUCUCGUGCACUUAUUCUUCUACCUUCGUAUAGGGUUAGACCCAACAGCCCAAACUUCGCGUGCCCAUGGCCACGAGGAACGAGGACGGCCGCGCGUUGCUGAUGGCCAGGAGGGGGGACUCGAUAUGGAGGAGAGGGAGGGAGGACGAGGAGACCGCAUAAGGCGCUGGAUUUGAGAGAGGAGAGAUUUUGGGGAGAUGAGACGGGAGAAUGGAUUUGUGUGAUUUGGAAGAGUCGAGGAGAAAGUGAGGGGAGAACAAAGAAUAGAAACCAAGGGGGAGAUAUUUUCUUUUUCUUUUUUUUAAAUCAAGAUAUUCUCUUUCUACUGGUGAUAAGGGCAUCUUCAACGGUGAACGCUUGUUGAGGCUUUUACAUGAUAGGAAAUGUACGGGAAAUGAUUGGGAUCAGCCGACGGAUAACGACGCGUGUGAUCCACCGCCACUGUGGCCGUUAGAUCAGGUUUUAAUCAGAUGGCUAGAAGCAACGUAUUACCUAGACUAGUUUUUGCAACUAAAGUCGUUCUUGCAAUCUCCCCCGCCGCAAAAACUGUUGUGUUGUGGGAUCUGGAUCCCCUCGACAUUGGCCACCACCCGUGCACCUCGCAAGAUCCCCAUCAAGCCAACUCUGUCUCGUGCUGCUUCGACCGCCGUCAUCGACGUUCGCCACCGGCAGCAUGCCGACAAGGUCGCGGGCGUGACCGCAGCCGUUGCCGCCCACCUCCACCAUGAAUGUUGGACGUCCUGGUGCGCCCGAACUCAAGCUGCAUCCCGCCGCCCAGUGGGAGCACCAGCAUCUGUGUCCUUGGGGGGGAGUUACGUCCACCUUCGCCCCACCGUCCCGAAGGAGCACCAGCCUUUCCUUAGGUCGACAUGGUCGAUGCUCUCUACAACCAGUUUCAGCAAUAAGGUAUGUUGCAAAAAAAAACUGUAACAAGACCUAUGUUGCAAAAUAAAUAGAUUUCAACAAGACCUUUGUUCCAAAAAAAAAUGCAACAAGACAUCUGUUGCAAAAAAACUGUAACAAGACAUAUGUUGCAAAAAAUAAUCGGCAACUUGAGCUAUGUUACAAAAAUUUCCGUAACAUAACCCCAACACGACAUGUGUUGCAAUGGUAGAAGGUUAAUCUUGGGCGCUCCAGAUUUGACGGCUCGUAAGGCGGCAGAUCUUUUAAAAAGAUCCAUGGGCCGACUGUGUAGGGUGUCCAUCCCUCCAACGCCAAUAGCAAUCUAUAGAUGGCCCAUGAUUUAUGAAAAAAGAAAAAAAGAAAACAGAAGCGCUCGAUGCCUUGCGCGGCAUUGACGCAAGCGAGAUUCCCUGUCUAGGGUGGGAAUCGGGCAUAACUGCCGGGAAAUCAACCUUGGUGUCGAUCGUUAGCAUCCGCGUUGUAAAUGCCCUAGGAGGAUGGAUUUGACCCUAAAGAAAGAUGGAUUUGGAUUUGGUUCCAGAUGUUACAAAUUUCUGUUUGGAAAUUCGGGGCCGCUCCAAUAUCCGAAAUUUGAAAAGAGUUUCAGAAAACAUAAUUCAAAAGAAUAAAAUAUGACCAAAAUCCAGUAGAGUUUUUGAAAACCGUGCAUCUUUGGUAAAAUGAAUCAUGUUCAUUGGAAGGGUCAACUUUCCAAGGGGCGUGCUAUUUGGCGGGCGCCCGCCAAAUUCCAUACUCAGCGGCCAAUCAAGUUUAGAAGUGAAUUUUUUCUUCAAAAAAAGUUUAGAAGUGUUUUUUGUUUAUUAUUGAAAUAAUAAUUGACAGAAAUAAAAGUAUUUUGGUUGUUUUUCUGUGAGGAAAUUUUGGUUGGGCUUCAUAGAUUCGCUAGUAAAAUCCUUCCAAAUAACAACCGUGUAAGCGAUAGUCUGGUUGCAUACCCCUUCGCUCUUGUACGCCAGGGCACCCUAUGCGCCUCCGUCGAUCGAUCUCGUGGUCUUAGUUCCAAGGAAGCGCGGUGGAUCUCGGCAGUUGCCGGCGGGAGGGCUUUGUUUUCAGAUGGUUUUUUAGUUUUGUUAGGCUUUGUGUACUACUCGGAGAGGGGAGGCGACGGCUCUCAGAAGAUGGAAUAAGGUCCUCCCAGCCUAACCCUCAUCUGGGUGGUGUUUCUAGCAUCAUCGAAGGGCAUGUGAAGGUUUCUCUCUGGCGGAUCUCAUGGGAUUAAGUCGGUGUUUGUCUUCCUGGAUCCACGUGGAUACGAUCUUCAUUCGUUUGUGUUCAUGUGCCUGCAAGUUGGAUCCUUCUGAUCUACACAUCUCUUCAUCGGCGGCGGUUGUUGACCUAGUGCGCUGGUCCAGUGGGGCUUUAUCAUGACGACUUCCCGACUGUCUACUACAACAAGAUUUGUCUGCCUCCCAUGAGGGAGGGGCGAUGACGGCGGCAUGCCUUCGGCUUGUUCCAGUGCAUGUAGUCGUCGCUAGGUGGUCUACGAACCUGGGUGUACUUUUUACUUCUAGUACUAUGUACUACGUUAACAGUUCAUGAAUAGAUUGAAAGUUUUUCACGCAAGAAAACCGUGUAAAAAAACAAAGUAUUGCAACCAGCGGCAGCUAGUAAUUUUUCUUAUUUUAGCAUAUAUGUAGUCUCUCUGUUCACGGAUAUAAGAUGUUUGAACUUUUACUGAGUCGGGUGUAUAUAGACAUCAGGGACGGGCCCAUAGUUGUGCGGGACUGUAUGGCCCACACAGGGCCCAUAGAUUUUGGGGGGCCCAAAUUGGUAUAAGGCCUAUGUAUAUUUUCUUCCUGCCGCGUCCAAGCGGCCUGCUCGAUGCCCCCCAAACGGGAUCCAUCGCAUCCUAUCCAGAGCUGGAGUUCCUAUGCGCCGCUCGUUGCGUGAAAAAUCCCCAAAAAGUCUGCUCGAGGGAGGGAUCAAACCAGGGACCUCCUGUUGCUUAUGCGCGAGCCUAGCCAACGGGAUAGAUGAGCUUCUUCGUGUACUAUGGCGUGUGAAGCUAAUGGUAAUAUAGAUCCGAGCAUUUUGUCAAAUUCUGAAGGCGAACAUUAUUUUGGAAAUAUGUUUUUUCAAAGGGACCACUUUUCAACUUUGAGAAGAAGAAAAAAAGCUCGAACAUUUCUUGAUAAACUGAACACUUUUUUGAAAAUGGCGAACAUUAUUGAAUAUGUGAAUAAAUUCUCAUUAAAGGCGACAUUUUUUGAAACUCUGGACAAUAAUUUGGAAACACGAAUAGUUUUGGAAUCGGUCAACAAUUUUUGAAACAAGAACAUUUUUUCAAACUCAGGACAAAAUUUGAAAAUGAAAACAUUUUAUAAAAUUCGAACAUUUUUUAAAAUUUUGAACAUUUUUUUAGAAAUAUGAACAGUUUAUCAAAUCAAGAAUGUUUUUUAGAACUCUGAUAUAUUCUAAAAAGGAAAAAGGAACAGGAGAAAAUAAGCAGAAAAACGAGAAAAGAAGAUGAACAUUUUUCAAAUUCGUUAGCAUUUUUUAAAAAGUCGAACAUUUUUUGAAAUUCCCAAACAAAAUUAGAAACAGACACAUUCUUGAAAGUUACGAACAAAAUUUGAAAUAGAAACAAUUUUUGAAACAACCAAAUAAAAUUGGAAAACAUGAACAUUUUUCUCAAAUUUGCGAAUGAAUUUUGAAAGAGGAACAUUUUUUACGAACUCCUAAACAAAACUUGAAAAUAUGAACAUUUUUUGAAUUUUGUGAACAAAAUUUUAGAACUAUGAAUAUUUUGAAUUUGUGAACAAAAUUUGGUAAGUAGAAUAAAAUUUUGAAAGAAAGGAAUUUCGAUAGCAUGAGCAGUUUUUAAAAUUGAAGAAUUUUUUUGAAAAUUUAGAACCUUUUUAAAAAUCUCAAACGUUUGGAAAUUCAAACAUUUUUUCAAUACAUGAACAAUAUUUUGAAAACCGGAACACAUUUUUUAAACUUUGAACAUAUUUUUUGAUAAGCGAACAAUUUUUUUAACUUCAAAAAUUUUUGUAAAGAACGAAUAGUUUUUACAUGCAGACAAAAUUUUAAUAGUUUGAAUAUUUUUAAAAUUAUGAAAAAUGAAAAACUGAAGAGGAGGAAAAAUAAAGAAAAGAAACAGAAAGAAAAGGAUGAAAAAAGAAAACUUGUAAAGGUAGAAAAGGAAAAGAUAGAGAAGAAAUAAUAAACAGGAAAAAGGAAAAAAAAGACGAAACAGAAACAGAAAAAAAGUGUUAGGAAGCUUCUAGAAGGUUCCCAAAACCGGAAAAAACGGCUGGGAACAAGCGAGAAGGUUCCUAAAACCGGAACAUCGAAACAUUUUACAGGCCGGCCCACGCGCGAACCCUCGAUCGAUCUCCCUGUGCGUCCGCCGGACAACUUGCGGCAGCGAGCGGCAUUCCAUCCAGAGGCAGCCAACGAUUGCCGCCCUCAAAAGAUUCAGCGUAGCGCUGGGUUUUUUUCCGCACUAAUUAUGUGUUGUACUAUGGCAGAAGAUAUAAUUACUUUAUGCCCAGCCAUAAUUACCUUCAUGUGCUGUGUACUGAAGCCCAAAACAGCCCACGCGCAUUAUCCUGUAUUUAGGCCACUGUGGUAAACUGUACUUUCAUUUGUAUGUUUGGCUUGUCUAAAAAAAAUUGUAUGUUUUCCAAGACCUAGCGUCCAUCUAUUCCGCGCCGCCGUCGCUGCCCUGUCGGUUGCCUUGUGAGUUGCCGGAUGCCACCUACACACCGCCGUCAUGGUUCGUCCAUCCUACACUGGCAGCAGUGCGGUGCGAGUAUUCAGUCCGCAGAUCACUGUAUUGUAUUGGCGUAUCCGUUUCUUGAGCAGUUAGAUCUAUAGGUAUGUAUUAAGUACUAGUUUUUAUUAUGUUGGUGGAUUUCAAUCCAGUAUUCUAGUGAUCUCGUUUACUUGCAUAUAAGACAACAGGUUAAUUCACAAAUUAGGUGUGUCGCUUUUCCAUAGUAGAUGACUUUGAUUAAUUUGGCAAAUCACAUGAUCACUUAACCCAAAUGAAAUUGCUGCAAUAGACCCCAUGGUCUAAAGUCAAUCUAAUAAUAAAGAUUCACAAGGAUCAUUUUCCGUGAAGUUUUAUCUAUUGCGUGGUCAUUCUCUUCCCUCAACCCCUUCAUGUUUAAAUCCUGGCUCCACUUCUGCGCUUGAGAGCAAAGUGUUGAAGAAGAUUAAUUACAAGGAUAUCAUUGAACAUUUCAUUUCAAAGAAUACUAAAAGAAUGACUUGUUCAAAUAAAUAUCAGGCAACCGGGAGUUGAAUAGGUAUGCUUUUUUACACAUCCAAUUGCUAUGUAAGACAUUAUAUCAUAUACGUUAUAUUGCUCAUUAGUUUAUUUUAGUGAGAUGGGGCCCCAUUUUUUAGUUUCGCACAGGGCUCUGGAUUUUGCCGACCCAGCCUUGAUAGACAUGUUCUAAUGUGUUUGUUCAGUCAUUUUAGUCUGUACAUAGUAAUAUUAAAAUAUCCAGAACAUCUCUUAUAUUUAUGAAGCGAGUGAGUACUAGUUAUGUAAUGUGUCUAUUACCGGUGCUCGAGUGUCUGAGUGUUAACUUGGAACCCACUAAGAUGAAUUUCUAGACCCGUCGCUUAUUGCAACGUUAGAUUGAAUCAAUAGAUAAUGAUAUUCUUCUCGCCUAGCUCAUCACCGAGACAUUCGAUUUAAAUAAUCUUGUAUCCUUAUUAUUGGCACAAACGCAAUCAGAAGUUUCUUUCUCUUUGGGUCGCGCUAACUGCCACACGUGUGGCAGGAAGGAAGACGCACCACACGUCUCUAAUGUAAACAGAUUGCCACGUCAUCGCAUGCAUGCAUGCAGGAAUUUUUUUGGAUUUUCAGUUUUUAAAAUGUUUUAUCUCUUAAACGAAAAAUCCGAUUGAAAAUCCGUUUUCACCAUUAAAUCCCUCGCGAUGAGAUCUUCGAAACUAGAUCCAAUGUUGAUAUGUUUUAAUGAAUUUUUUUUUGGAUUAAAAGUUGCCAUGUCUAUUGCAUAUGAAUUGUCAUGAUGUUUACACUGAAGUUGCCAUGAUAUGUUUCAGCUCUUUUCUUCUACAUUUAAAAGUAAAUUUUGACAUUUAUAAAACGGGGAAUUAAGAAACUAGACUUGCCAUGAACCAUAAACUAAAAUUGCCAUGAUACAUGCACGUAAAAUUGCCAUGGUUCAUACAAAAAAUAAUUUUCAUGGUCAAAGUACUAGAGUUGCCAUCAUCAAAAUACUAAAAUUGCCAUGAUCUACAAACUAAAAUUGCCACAUGGCAACUUUAGUUUAAGCCCUAUGGCAACUGCAGUGUAAACAUCGUGGCAACUUCUGACAAAAAAAAAAUCAUCGAAACAUAUCAACAUGGGGUCUAGUUUUGAAGAUCUCGUCGAGACGGAUUUAAUGGUGAAAACGGAUUUUUAGUUCGCUUUUUUAUUUAGAAGAUACAACAUUUUUAAGCCGAAAACCAAAAAAAAUUCUGCUGAUGUCAUCUAUUCAUACGUGGCAAAAUGAGUGGUGAUGGAGGCGUGUGGGCGAUGUGCAAACGCCCACACGUGUGGGCGUUAACAUUUUCGUUUUCUUUCUGUCACCAAAAUACUUCACUUACUGAGGGUUUUCUAUCCUGCUCCCUCUUAUUUUCCAUUUUCACAUGAAAGAUACGAGUAUAAAAUAGAUCUAAGCCGUUGAUUGUACUAAAUAGUGGGUUUGAUUAACUCUUAACUUCUUACCUUCCGUGUGAAAAGAGAGGUUUUUUAACAUGCUCCUCUUACUCUCUGUCUCCGUGCAUGUUAAAAUUGCUCUUAUAAAGAUUUACAAGACGACGUGCGAGUCGAGUCGAGCACCUCACCUGGAAGUCAAAACCAUCGGCCAUCGCGUGGGAGUCCCGGGUAGGGCUCGUCACCAUGCAAGGGCGGAAGGAUCGACGUCGCCGGCCGCCAACUCCGGCCACCGGCGAGGCUGAGAACAGCGGUGGCUCGACGGAGGAGAAGACGUGCGCCGCCAUCAGUCAGUUGCGACUAUCACCUCUGUAACCACACAACUGUUGGCUAAGGAGCAAGUGAGCAACUACCGUACUUGUCAAGCCGCCACGAACAAAUACAUAUAGGCAGCGACGAACAUUUAUAUUACUGCGCCGACGUACACACACGCAGGAUGUCUGGCCAGAAAAGGAGGUAGGAUUUUUUUUGCCGACCUUGCGCUGAAACUUCUCCACGUCCCUGGAUCUAAAUGACUAGGGUGAUUCGUAGCCUCCUUUCCCAUACAAAUGUUGUGGCGCCUACGGGGUAAAGCAGCAGCCAUAUAUAUCUGUGCUAGGUUGGAAGAGUGCUCACUAGAAGAGAGCUACGUCGUUGUUGCUACUAUAGAUUGCGCCCGCCCUGAAAUCUCAAUGACCGGGAUGGGUUUCAUACGGAAUCUGGGACGAAAUCUGCAAGUGGAGAGGAAGAGAUUUCGACAACAUAAUUUUUUCCAACUUCACAGAAAUGUACGUGCAUUUUUUAGGAAUGUUAGUUCAAACAUUUUAACAAAAAUGUGUGUACGACUAAAAAAGGUGUUCACGUGUAUGUAAAAAAAUGCCAUGUAGAAUAAAAAUGUUCAGUAUUUUUAUUAAAUGUUCAUGUAAUUAAGAUGUGUUCAUCUAUUCUGAAUAAAAUACAUGUACUUUUAAAGAAAUGUUCACAUAUUUUAAAAAGUGUUCAUAUACUUUCAAAACAUGUUCAUGCAUUUCCUGUGAAAGCGAUCAUGUUAUUAAUGAAAGCAUUCGUCCAUUUGAGAAAUUAUUCAUGUAAUUAAACAAGUUUUCCACCCAUUUGAAAAGUCUUCAUGUAAUUUUAAAAUAGUGUAAUAUUCAUGUAUUUUUUUAAACCCAUAUUUUUUUAAUAUCUUAGUAUAUUUUUAAAACAAAACAUGAAACUUAAAAUAGAAGAGAAAAAGGACAAACAAACAAGAAAAUAAAAAGGAAUAAAACACAAAACAAAAAAGAAACAUGAAAAAAGGAAAAACCCAACACAAACCAGCACAAAAAAACCCGACAAAAGAAAAUAGGAAAAAACAACUGAAACCAGUCCGGUCCACACCCCCACAGCUGGGUCUGGUCCCUACCUUCGCCCAAAUUUUUAUGGCCAGCGAUUUUGCUCGGCAGGUUCAUUAAUGAAAUGAAGUGUUUCGAGCUAAAAAAAA